This 332-nucleotide ribosomal RNA is filed under the name Arachnodes cuprarius. RNAcentral describes it as "eukaryotic LSU rRNA". It matches the Rfam family "Eukaryotic large subunit ribosomal RNA", at positions 656 to 954 of the family's 3401-position model. RNAcentral also lists the same sequence under 3 other names. The record is from RNAcentral. Lineage: Eukaryota; Metazoa; Arthropoda; Insecta; Coleoptera; Scarabaeidae.
GAAACACGGACCAAGGAGUCUAGCAUGUGCGCGAGUCAUUGGGACUCUGUUAAACCUAAAGGCGCAAUGAAAGUAAAGGUCCGCCUCGCGCGGACCGAGGGAGGAUGGGCCCGUCCACGGGCGGGCCCCGCACUCCCGGGGCGUCUCGUUCUCAUCGCGAGAAGAGGCGCACCCAGAGCGUACACGCUGGGACCCGAAAGAUGGUGAACUAUGCCUGGUCAGGACGAAGUCAGGGGAAACCCUGAUGGAGGUCCGUAGCGAUUCUGACGUGCAAAUCGAUCGUCGGAACUGGGUAUAGGGGCGAAAGACUAAUCGAACCUUCUAGUAGCUGG